AUUGAACGCUGGCGGCAUGCCUUACACAUGCAAGUCGAACGGCAGCACGGGUGCUUGCACCUGGUGGCGAGUGGCGAACGGGUGAGUAAUACAUCGGAACAUGUCCUGUAGUGGGGGAUAGCCCGGCGAAAGCCGGAUUAAUACCGCAUACGAUCUACGGAUGAAAGCGGGGGACCUUCGGGCCUCGCGCUAUAGGGUUGGCCGAUGGCUGAUUAGCUAGUUGGUGGGGUAAAGGCCUACCAAGGCGACGAUCAGUAGCUGGUCUGAGAGGACGACCAGCCAAAAUGGGACGGAGAAACGGCCCAGACUCCUAGGGGAGGCAGGAGUGGGGAAUUUGGGAAAAGGGGGGAAAGCCUGAUACAGAAAUGCCGGGUGGGGGAAGAAGGCCUUGGGGUUGUAAAGCACUUUUGUCGGGAAAAAAAUCCUGGGCCCUAAAACGGUGGGGGGAUGACGGUACCGGAAGAAAAAGCACCGGCUAACUACGU
Molecule: ribosomal RNA, 485 nt
Filed under: uncultured bacterium
Lineage: Bacteria
Description: partial 16S ribosomal RNA
Rfam family: Bacterial small subunit ribosomal RNA
Source: RNAcentral